GAAACUGGGGAUGAUGAUGGACAUGAACUUGGAGAUGAAGGUGAAGAUCAGGAUGCUGAUGCAGGAGAGGAAGAGGAUGCUGAUGCAGGAGAGGAGGAUGAAGAAGAAGAAGAGCCCGAGACAAAUGAUGGUGCUGAAAAUAAUGACGAUGAGGAUGGUGAGGAUGAUGACGAUGAGAAUGACGAGGAUGAUGACGAUGAGAAUGACGAGGACGAGGACGAGGAUGAGGAUGAGGACGAAGAACCAGACGAGGACGAGGAGGAGGAAAUUCCCCAGCCACCAGCAAAAAAGAGGAAGGACGAGGAGGAAGACCCAGAAGAGGAUGACGAGGAGAUUCCCCAGCCACCAGCUAAAAAGAGGAAAUGAG
This 367-nucleotide long non-coding RNA is filed under the name Olea europaea (common olive). Its description in RNAcentral is "long non-coding RNA (OEUR_LNC009518)". The record is from RNAcentral. Lineage: Eukaryota; Viridiplantae; Streptophyta; Magnoliopsida; Lamiales; Oleaceae.